UGGGGAAUAUUGCACAAUGGGCGCAAGCCUGAUGCAGCCAUGCCGCGUGUACGAAGAAGGCCUUCGGGUUGUAAAGUACUUUCAGCGGGGAGGAAGGGAGUAAAGUUAAUACCUUUGCUCAUUGACGUUACCCGCAGAAGAAGCACCGGCUAACUCCGUGCCAGCAGCCGCGGUAAUACGGAGGGUGCAAGCGUUAAUCGGAAUUACUGGGCGUAAAGCGCACGCAGGCGGUUUGUUAAGUCAGAUGUGAAAUCCCCGGGCUCAACCUGGGAACUGCAUCUGAUACUGGCAAGCUUGAGUCUCGUAGAGGGGGGUAGAAUUCCAGGUGUAGCGGUGAAAUGCGUAGAGAUCUGGAGGAAUACCGGUGGCGAAGGCGGCCCCCUGGACGAAGACUGACGCUCAGGUGCGAAAGCGUGGGGAGCAAACAGG
RNAcentral lists this ribosomal RNA (429 nucleotides) under Chloroflexota bacterium. Its description in RNAcentral is "Chloroflexi bacterium partial 16S ribosomal RNA". It matches the Rfam family "Bacterial small subunit ribosomal RNA", at positions 355 to 776 of the family's 1533-position model. The record is from RNAcentral. Lineage: Bacteria; Bacillati; Chloroflexota.